GAAUCACGUGCACUCUCCAGUGAAUCUUUGUGACUCUAUUCCAGGCCGAUGAUGUCCCUCUGACAGAGCAAACGGUGGCACAGGUCCUGCAGUCUGCCAAGGAGCAGAUCAAGUGGUCUCUGCUUCGGUAGGAGGGAGGCUGAAGACCAAGGGGGGCGGUCACUGUCCCCACCUCCCCCCACCCCUCCCCCAGCUUCCCCGCCGAGACUGGGAUUCCCUCGGUGAGGGGGGUGGGGGUAGGAUGGUCCCCUCCGCAGCCCGGCGAGGACAGAACAUUCCGGAACGGGUGUGCCGGGGGUGUGGGGGGGAGGGGAGCAGCUCAGGGAUCCCGGUGGAGAGGGUCGGGGGUGGGUGGUCGGGGAGGGUAAGUGGUGAGGGAGCACGCCUGGUUGUUCCCUCCCCCUCACCCCCUCACCCCACCCUCUCACCCCACCGUACCGCGCACUCCGAUGUAUUUAAUGUCUCUCUCUCUCUCGCUCUGUUGUAAUAAAAUCGUUGUAUCACCUCGUGA
This is a long non-coding RNA of Hemiscyllium ocellatum (epaulette shark), 511 nucleotides long. RefSeq lists it as uncharacterized. The transcript is spliced from 2 exons. NCBI's taxonomy places the organism in Eukaryota, Metazoa, Chordata, Chondrichthyes, Orectolobiformes, Hemiscylliidae. The record is from RefSeq and is a predicted model, not a curated record.